CACUUUCCCAAUGACAGAAACACUCUGUUCUGCUGGCCAGCACUGCCUGUGCACAUGGAGACUUGAAGUACCCUGCAGGACACAGCCCUAAAGGCAUCAGGAAAAAAGACUGAGGCGUGUGUGCUAGGACAGUGGUGCCAAAUUUCUUCCCUGUGGCAUGCCCAGGCUAAAGCCUAACCCUCGGCUCCUCAGUGCUUGCUGCUUAGCAGCAGGGGCAGGAGACAAGGGGACAGUCUGCUGUAGUCAGAAAAAUCAGCUCAGCUGUGAACCUAAUCAAGCAGCCAGGCAGUAACUGAGACAAGAUUUUGUCCCCCUUUGUACCACGCAGGAGUCUGCACAGGAAAACCUUCACUGCCUGGAAUCAGCCAGAUAUGGGUGGGACUUCAGUGGAGGUGCAAAUUGUCCAAUUGGCCAUCCAAAAGAUGAAUGGCAAUUGUCAUUCUGUCCACGAUGCCCAUCCAGAAUAUACUGGACUUCUCCACCAAGCUGGUAUGGAUGACGGAGCUUAGCUCCUGCAGCACUCUUACCAUCCAUGGCUCUUUGUAGCUUGGACCAUUCAGAUGGAGUGAGGUAAACCCAGACCUAGUGUGUUGGGGUCGUGGAAUAUGAGUGUAACUGUCUAUUGGUAAAACAACCAAUCAUGAUCUUGAAAGAAAAAGAACUUGAUGUUUUGUUGUUGUUUUUUUUUUUUUUUCAAAUAAAUAGAGCAAAUACAUCA
Molecule: long non-coding RNA, 718 nt
Filed under: Numida meleagris (helmeted guineafowl)
Lineage: Eukaryota; Metazoa; Chordata; Aves; Galliformes; Numididae
Description: lncRNA (ENSNMEG00000000613.1)
Source: RNAcentral